RNAcentral lists this long non-coding RNA (570 nucleotides) under Vitis vinifera (wine grape). Its description in RNAcentral is "long non-coding RNA (VVIN_LNC005761)". The record is from RNAcentral. Lineage: Eukaryota; Viridiplantae; Streptophyta; Magnoliopsida; Vitales; Vitaceae.
ACCCCUGCCUCCGGUAAAACUCCUACCACCACGGCCAGCGUCAGAACUUCUAAUACCGCCGCGACCAUGGCCUCCAUCAAAAGUCCUACUACCGCCACCACCUCUGCCACCAUCUGAACUCCUGCUGCCGCCUGUCCUACCUCCGCCACGACCGGAGUCAUAAGCACGCCUCCCUCCAUCACCUGUACCUCGCCCACCUUCUCGGCCCCUAGCACCACCACCACCACGACCUCGAUCUCCAUCGCCUCUUCUAUUUCCAAGAUCACCAUUAGCCAUUCUUCCACCGAACUCUCCACCACUACCUUUCCCUCCACUAAACCCCCUUCCUACUCCGCCACCGCCACCGCCACCCCGGCCAAUCUCAAACCUUCCGGAACCAGGCUGAAAAGGCGGGUAAGCGUUGAAACCCCCUCCGCCAGGCACAGAUCCGGAAACAUCCCCACCUCCUCUUCCGCCGUUAGGGAAAGAAACCGAAGGUCCUCCGUAGGAAGCCGGCCCACCCCGUCCGUAGGUCGGGCUGGGCCCACCGACUACACCGCCCAUCAUCGGCGGAGGUGCUACGGGAGGCGG